CAGAAAUGUACAGUCUAAGAGAAAAUGUUACAUAUUGUGGAAAUACAUUGUUGACCAAGUGUGACUCUGUGACAAUGUAGUAUCUAUUUAGAUUUGUUUUUACAAACCAAUGUACUUUGAAGUUAUCAAGAUUAGUUGAAACCGAUUGGUGUAAAGAGGGUAGUUUUUGUAUUGCUUGGCAUACGCCCUUGUCACGCUGUGUAUAGCUACUUUGACUAUUGGGGGAAAGGGACAAUGGUCACAGUCUCAUCAGCAGCCACAGCCUCCCCUACUCUAUUCCCUCUUAUGAACUGUGGAACYGCUUCUAAUAAUGUCUACAGCAUCGGUUGUCUCGCUACCGGCUUUUCACCUUCCUCAAUCACCUUCAAGUGGACAGACGACAGCGGGAGUGCGCUGACGGACUUCGUCCAGUACCCGGCAGUCCAGAGUGGGGGAGCCUACACAGGAGUCAGUCAGCUCCGUGUGGCUGAGAACGUCUGGGAAAACUCAAAGUCUUUCAUUUGUUCUGUGGAACAUCCURGAGGUGGAAAGACAGCAGUCAUCAAUAAACCAGUCCCAAAGUCUCCAACAGUGUCUUUGCUGUCGGGGCCCAUUGGCACCACCCAGUACCUGAUGUGUAUGAUUGAAGAUUUCACCCCAAAUAAAGUCACUGUCACCUGGAAGAAGAAUGACAUGGAGGUGGAGGGCCAGAUCACUACUGUAGGCAAACAGCCGUCAGGCCUCUACUCAGGCAGCAGUCUGCUGAAGGUCAACAACACUGACUGGAACAACAAGGUCAAGUACAGCUGUGUGGUGCAGCACCAGGGACAAACCACCAUCAAGACAAUUUCCAAAACAGAAGCACUGACGGUGACUCUGAACUCACCGCGUGUGAGAGAGGUAUUCCUUGACAACCAAGCAGUGCUGGACUGUGUCAUCAGUGGUACAGACCAGGACACAGUGUCUGGUACCAAAAUCACCUGGCACGUCAACGGACAGAAACAAACAGAUCACAUCGAUCUGAAACCUAUUGAAUCAAAGGGCAACCUGAACAGCAGGGUCAGUACUCUGACCAUAGACCAGACGAAGUGGACCAAUGUGAACAAAGUCCAGUGUUCUGCCAUGAAGAGUGGUGAAGACACACCGGUCAUUCAGGAACUCAGCUUCACCAAAGGUCAAGCCCCUUCAGUGUCCGUUCACCUUGUUCCAAAGGAAGACACCAUGGAGGGGGAAGUGACUCUGUUGUGCCUGGUGGUCAGUCCGUCUCUCUGUGAUGUCUACAUCAUAUGGAAGGUGGGCAAUGACACUUAUCAGGAGGGGGUCACCAGCCCUCCUCAGAAAACCCAGAAAGGCAGCUACCUUGUCACCAGCGUCUUCACCACUGCCAAGAACGUGUGGGACACAGAAGUGCUUUUCACAUGCGCCGUCAGGCACGCCGGCUUGGACAACAACACCGCAGCUAAGGAGGACAGUGUGUCGAAGUCCUUGGAGAACAUCCUACUGACUGAGCCUGAGGCGGGCUUCGCUCUGAGCUGCACGGACAACAAUGAGGAUGAGUUCAGCAGCCUGUGGUCCACCACCUCCUCCUUCAUCAUCCUCUUCCUUCUCUCCUCACCUACAGCACAGUACUCAGCCUGGUCAAGAUGAAGCAGUGAGAACACAUGAUGGACUGUAGAGAUAGAUGUGUCUAGAUUAGAAAGAAAAUGGUCUGGGAUGCUUAUGGCAUAGUAUUCUUCAGUAAUAAUGUUACAUAUAUAUCCAAUACAUUAUUGAUUAUGAUUGAUUAGUAUUGUUGUUCUCAAUAUUAUACAAGCAUUGUGGUGAUAUGUUAUUUCAUUCAUUGAUUUAUUUUGUACAGUAUCUUUGAAUAUAAGUGUAUACUGUGAUGUCUGUGUGUCCUUUUUCACUUUAAGUUGUCGUUCUUUUUUUUUUACAUCCGCUGGAUACUAAUACUGGGACAAGGACACAUCCUAUAUACAAAGACAUUACUGAUUGGAGUGUUUCUGCUUGGCAGAGUUAUCUAUGGAGCCAAAUUACAGCUGUAGUCCCUCCCAGGACAGAUUAAAACAACGUUAGAUAUCUGUAAUAUUCAACUAAGACUUCAACAUUCUGUUAUCAGUUGAUCUGAGG
Salvelinus sp. IW2-2015 is the source of this 2109-nucleotide non-coding RNA. NCBI's taxonomy places the organism in Eukaryota, Metazoa, Chordata, Actinopteri, Salmoniformes, Salmonidae. The record is from the annotation of a RefSeq genome assembly.